GGAGUUAGCCGGUGCUUCUUCUGUGAGUGAUGUCCUUCCUGCCGGCUAUUAACCCGCAGGCCUUCUUCCUCACUGAAAGUGCUUUACAACCCGAAGGCCUUCUUCACACACGCGGCAUGGCUGGAUCAGGGUUGCCCACAUUGUCCAAUAUUCCCCACUGCUGCCUCCCGUAGGAGUCUGGGCCGUGUCUCAGUCCCAGUGUGGCUGAUCAUCCUCUCAGACCAGCUACGGAUCGUCGCCUUGGUGAGCCGUUACCUCACCAACCAGCUAAUCCGACAUAGGCUCAUCCGAUAGCGCGAGGCCCGAAGGUCCCCCGCUUUCCCCCGUAGGGCGUAUGCGGUAUUAGCCUGGGUUUCCCCAGGUUAUCCCCCACUACCGGGCAGAUUCCUAUGCAUUACUCACCCGUCCGCCGCUCGCCACCAGGGAGCAAGCUCCCCGUGCUGCCGCUCGACUUGCAUGUGUUAGGCCUGCCGCCAGCGUUCAAUCUGAGCCAGAAUCAAACUCUGA
RNAcentral lists this ribosomal RNA (507 nucleotides) under uncultured bacterium. RNAcentral describes it as "partial 16S ribosomal RNA". The record is from RNAcentral.